ACAUACACUCAGAGACUGAAAUCAUGAAUAAGACCUCCCAUGAAAGAACAAGAAGUCUUUGGGGAGAGGAAGAGGGCACAGGGAACUGGGGAGAGAAAAAAAUGAAUUGUGUGGCUUUAAUGAACAAAACAACAGAGUACUCCUUGGCCCCAACCGUGGCGUUUCAAUAAAUUAAGCCCUGGGCCCAAUGUGGUUGGCACAACUGGAAUCGGUGGUAGCAUGGAAAUACUGCCAGUCACAGAAGGGGAUCUGGCCCUGUUGAAGAACCAAGGACAGAAUACUCAACUCCAACACAGUCAGAAGCAAUCUGAAGAAACACAAGAGGUACAGGUAUCUAGCAUCUGGAAAAGAUCAUGUCUCAUAGGCACUUCAUGCGAAGAGGGUGUAAGUACUUCUUUGUCCUACACAUGUAACUCCAGCGGGCUAUUGGCCUUGCUCUCCAGAUAGAAGGGAUCCAUUGCCUUUAAAUUGUAACAUCAUGGAGCAAUUAAAGAGAAAAAGUCUCUAUACUGAUAAUCUGUUUCCCAAUCAUUCAGUUUUUCUGAUUGAAACUGCAAACAGUGUGUGAAAGAAUAGACUAAAGAAGAAUGCAUAGAAGGAAGUAGGAAUAAAUACAUCCAUUACACUGUCUGAACA
Molecule: long non-coding RNA, 636 nt
Filed under: Anser brachyrhynchus (Pink-footed goose)
Lineage: Eukaryota; Metazoa; Chordata; Aves; Anseriformes; Anatidae
Description: lncRNA (ENSABRG00000013002.1)
Source: RNAcentral